CCAGGUAAAUACGAAUUGAGUAUUCAUGGUACUGAGCCACAAUUCGGGUAGUUUCAGGUAUCAAGAAAGCAGGGCAACCCAACUAUUUCAGGCAGUUUCAGUCUCAGGCAUCAAUGUCUUUGAUCCAAAGUCCUGUGGUUGACCAGUCCGUCUACUUCCCUUAAACGGAGACACAGAGGCAGCUAACUUCUUUUCGCCCAGCCAUUGAAGAACUACUAUACAGUAAGCAUGGAAAAAAUGUGCACAUAGGAUAUUUGGCAGAUAAGAAUAAACCAAUCAUCUCAAAGGACUGAGAAGAAACUGCAGAAAUAUAAAAGAUGCAUGCCUUGAUAGAGAAAUACCAACUUUAUGGAGAGCUAUACCUAGGAUUACCCGUCUUUGCAACAGGUCAGGGAGGCCCAGCAGAA
Molecule: long non-coding RNA, 407 nt
Organism: Juglans microcarpa x Juglans regia
Lineage: Eukaryota; Viridiplantae; Streptophyta; Magnoliopsida; Fagales; Juglandaceae
Exons: 3
Source: RefSeq, a predicted model, not a curated record